Molecule: long non-coding RNA, 1098 nt
Organism: Entelurus aequoreus (snake pipefish)
Lineage: Eukaryota; Metazoa; Chordata; Actinopteri; Syngnathiformes; Syngnathidae
Exons: 3
Source: RefSeq, a predicted model, not a curated record
GGUGUCAACAAAAACCACCACCAAAGACCGCGCUCGUCACAUCCCGAGCGUGUUAGAACCCAAAAGAAACCUUGAUGACUGGGCAGUUCGACUGGAGAAUAAGGGGAUAUCAAGAAGAAGAAGAAAAAGACACAGGAGGAAAUUGUGACGGCAAGAGAGCAAGUUGGACGGGAUGGCAAACUCUUGGAUGGCCGGACCUAAACUUUCUACUCGAAAGCUUCUAAACAUGAAAGGAAAGCUUUGGUGGUGUCACAAGUGGAGCAGGAAAAAUGUUCCAGUACCAGCAGGAGAGGACUCAUUCUGUGGAAGAUUCCGGAAGCCUCCCUUAGUUUCCUUCCGAUACAGCUAGAUAUCCAUGAUUCCCUCUUGGCCACUUUGGAACAGACAAGCUACUGUGGGGGAGGAAGAACUACACUACCUUAUACUACUAUCCGGAACACUCCUUAUCAGCCACAAAAGUUGAUGUUCCGUGUUUCAGUGAAACCAUACGAAACCAAACCAAUGAACUUUUAUCAUGUUGAUGAUAAUUCACUUCACCUACCGCCAUUUUUUCAGCAAUGACAGACUUGUGUUUGUCACUUAAUUCCUGCUCCAUAAUGCAGUCAUGAAGUUGAUUCAGGAUCUGCGUGCCUGCGUAGCCUUCAUCCACCAUGUUCUGAUAAAAACAAAGAAAAGAAACAUUUUGUAAUAAGACACAAGGUCUCCUCCUGUUUGGACACAGGGGCCACUCUCUCCCUGAACUUCGAAAUUUUCUCCAGAGUACAGAGAGAGAAACGAUAUCUAUCUUGAUUUUUCCGUACUUCUUACAUGUAUGGGAAAAUUGACAAUUAAAAAUAUUUGAUGUUUUUGACGUACCUUGAUUGCAACCUCAAGUUUCUCAAAUGUUCCUUUAAGGCAGACCUCAAGCAAACUGUCGAUCAUCUCGGCAGGGACAACCUGCAACAAGGAAAAUAUUCAUCAUUUUUGUAAAAUGACGUAUGUUUAGUAGUGAUGUUUUUAUGUAUUUGUACAUUUUGGUCAUGGCAAACAAGAGUGCUGCAAAACAGAACAAAGACAUUGGUCCUACGUCUCUCAAAGUAUGAGCUGCGUCACAAAACC